GACGAACGCUGGCGGCGUGCCUAAUACAUGCAAGUAGAACGCACAGUUUAUACCGUAGCUUGCUACACCAUAGACUGUGAGUUGCGAACGGGUGAGUAACGCGUAGGUAACCUGCCUGGUAGCGGGGGAUAACUAUUGGAAACGAUAGCUAAUACCGCAUAAUAUUGAUUAUUGCAUGAUAAUUAAUUGAAAGGUGCAAUUGCACCACUACCAGAUGGACCUGCGUUGUAUUAGCUAGUAGGUGAGGUAACGGCUCACCUAGGCGACGAUACAUAGCCGAACCGAGAGGGGGGAUGGGCCACACUGGAACUGGAACAGGGCCCGAACUCUUCCGGAAGCCGCCGGAGGGGAUUCUUGGGCAAGGAACGAAGGUCUAACGAGGCAAGGCGGCGGGGGUAAAGAAGGUUUUGGGUUGGUAAGGCUUGUUUUAAGAGAAGAACGGGUGUGAGAGUGGAAAGUUCACACUGUGACGGUAUCUUACCAGAAAGGGACGGCUAACUACGUG
This 505-nucleotide ribosomal RNA is filed under the name uncultured bacterium. Its description in RNAcentral is "partial 16S ribosomal RNA". It matches the Rfam family "Bacterial small subunit ribosomal RNA", at positions 28 to 507 of the family's 1533-position model. The record is from RNAcentral.